RNAcentral lists this ribosomal RNA (1148 nucleotides) under Limosilactobacillus fermentum. Its description in RNAcentral is "bacterial SSU rRNA". It matches the Rfam family "Bacterial small subunit ribosomal RNA", at positions 1 to 1147 of the family's 1533-position model. Lineage: Bacteria; Bacillati; Bacillota; Bacilli; Lactobacillales; Lactobacillaceae. The record is from RNAcentral.
CCUUCAAGCGAGUGCUAUACAUGCAGUCGAACGCGUUGGCCCAAUUGAUUGAUGGUGCUUGCACCUGAUUGAUUUUGGUCGCCAACGAGUGGCGGACGGGUGAGUAACACGUAGGUAACCUGCCCAGAAGCGGGGGACAACAUUUGGAAACAGAUGCUAAUACCGCAUAACAGCGUUGUUCGCAUGAACAACGCUUAAAAGAUGGCUUCUCGCUAUCACUUCUGGAUGGACCUGCGGUGCAUUAGCUUGUUGGUGGGGUAACGGCCUACCAAGGCGAUGAUGCAUAGCCGAGUUGAGAGACUGAUCGGCCACAAUGGGACUGAGACACGGCCCAUACUCCUACGGGAGGCAGCAGUAGGGAAUCUUCCACAAUGGGCGCAAGCCUGAUGGAGCAACACCGCGUGAGUGAAGAAGGGUUUCGGCUCGUAAAGCUCUGUUGUUAAAGAAGAACACGUAUGAGAGUAACUGUUCAUACGUUGACGGUAUUUAACCAGAAAGUCACGGCUAACUACGUGCCAGCAGCCGCGGUAAUACGUAGGUGGCAAGCGUUAUCCGGAUUUAUUGGGCGUAAAGAGAGUGCAGGCGGUUUUCUAAGUCUGAUGUGAAAGCCUUCGGCUUAACCGGAGAAGUGCAUCGGAAACUGGAUAACUUGAGUGCAGAAGAGGGUAGUGGAACUCCAUGUGUAGCGGUGGAAUGCGUAGAUAUAUGGAAGAACACCAGUGGCGAAGGCGGCUACCUGGUCUGCAACUGACGCUGAGACUCGAAAGCAUGGGUAGCGAACAGGAUUAGAUACCCUGGUAGUCCAUGCCGUAAACGAUGAGUGCUAGGUGUUGGAGGGUUUCCGCCCUUCAGUGCCGGAGCUAACGCAUUAAGCACUCCGCCUGGGGAGUACGACCGCAAGGUUGAAACUCAAAGGAAUUGACGGGGGCCCGCACAAGCGGUGGAGCAUGUGGUUUAAUUCGAAGCUACGCGAAGAACCUUACCAGGUCUUGACAUCUUGCGCCAACCCUAGAGAUAGGGCGUUUCCUUCGGAACGCAAUGACAGGUGGUUGCAUGGUCGUCGUCAGCUCGUGUCGUGAGAUGUGGAUAGUCCCGCACGAGCGCAACCUGUACUAGUUGCCAGCAUUAAGUUUGGGCCACCUCCUUAA